RNAcentral lists this long non-coding RNA (239 nucleotides) under Pan troglodytes (chimpanzee). RNAcentral describes it as "long non-coding RNA NONPTRT002734". The record is from RNAcentral. Lineage: Eukaryota; Metazoa; Chordata; Mammalia; Primates; Hominidae.
AGACUAAAAUCCACGGAGUCGGGUUUGUGAAAAUCCAUGCCCCCUGGAACGUGCUGUGCAGAGAGGCCGAGUUUCUAAAACUGAAGAUGCCGACGAAGAAGAUGUACCACAUUAAUGAGACCCGUGGCCUCCUGAAAAAAAUCAACUCUGUGCUCCAGAAAAUCACAGAUCCCAUCCAGCCCAAAGUGGCUGAGCACAGGCCCCAGACCAUGAAGAGACUCUCCUAUCCCUUCUCCCGG